GAUCCUGGCUCAGGAUGAACGCUGGCGGCGUGCUUAACACAUGCAAGUCGAACGAAGCAGCUUCUGCUUGCAAGAAAGCUGACUUAGUGGCGGACGGGUGAGUAACGCGUGGGUAACCUGCCUCAUACAGGGGGAUAACAGUUGGAAACGACUGCUAAGACCGCAUAACCCGCUAGUGUCGCAUGACACGGAACGGAAAAUAUUUAAUUUAACGAGUUAAAAUUUGGUAUGAGAUGGGCCCGCGUCUGAUUAGCUAGUUGGUAAGGUAACGGCUUACCAAGGCGACGAUCAGUAGCCGACUUGAGAGAGUGAUCGGCCACAUUGGGACUGAGACACGGCCCAAACUCCUACGGGAGGCAGCAGGUGGGAAUAUUGGACAAUGGGGGAAACCCUGAUCCAGCGAACCGCCGCGUGAGUGAAGAAGUAUUUCGGUAUGUAAAGCUCUAUCAGCAGGGAAGAUAAUGACAGUACCUGACUAAGAAGCCCCGGCCAACUACGUGCCAGCAGCCGC
RNAcentral lists this ribosomal RNA (511 nucleotides) under uncultured bacterium. RNAcentral describes it as "bacterial SSU rRNA". It matches the Rfam family "Bacterial small subunit ribosomal RNA", at positions 15 to 518 of the family's 1533-position model. The record is from RNAcentral.